GGGGAAUUGUAUAGAUGCAGUAAGUCUGACAAGACGAAUAAAAGAAUAAAGAAUCUUGUAAAUGAAAAGCCAUCAAUGGAUUUCUAAAUUCUACAAAUUUCUCAUGUGUGUGGCUAUUGGAUCAGGUACUUAAUCAACACAAGCCUGUUGCUUUUUCUGACAUAUUUUUGGACUUUAUGGUGAAUGUGCUAUUUGUUAUGUGAGAUGUUGUGCAACAGUUCUGCUACUCUGUGAUGCUCCAGAAAGCUGAAAUUUAAGAUUUGCCCAUGCUGAAUCACAUGACCUGUGGUCGGUAUCUAUCAACAAAGACCUGCCAGUUGCCACUUCAUCUGGAGGAAACCCAGAGCAGCCAAAAGGAAAUGCUUCCAUAGGGAGUAAAAGGAGAAGAGAUGAGCAGUAAGACCAAGCCAGGCUGGAAGGUGACUGACAGCAAGCUAUGCAUUGUUGAAGAAAAGAACAUGUGAAAAUCUACUUGAGUGUUGGCAUUUUGGGGGGCGUUUCAGGAGGGCCGAGCCAUAACAGAUGGAGCUGCUCCGUUGGCACCACAGGCAGGACUGGAAUUAUUAGAGGUGUCUGUCAUUGUGAAGAGCUCUUGAGCAAAUGAGCCUUCUGCAGGCUUUGGAGAUGGAUGUCAAAGGAACAAGUUUGUAUUUAGGAGAACAGGACUGGAUGACAUUUGAUUCUUUUGUUGAUACGGAAACAUUGCUAUUCAUCUGAGAACACCUUCAAAUGGAACCCAGCCUGCAACUUGGACUCUAAGCCUGAGCUACCCAGAGAUGUAAGAGACUGCCAAAGAUCCUAAGCCUGCACUAAUCAGCACAGAUGAUGGGUGAUUUCAGAGAUAAAACUCUCUUGGGAGUGACCAUGUCAGUGUGCUGCUGUUGUGAAUCAUCUUUAAAACCUUCUUCAUUGAGAGUGGAGGACAUGCCCUCAAUUAAGGGGUUUGGUGGUGGUGUGAUUCCCACUACAGGUGGUUUGCUUAAGCCAACACUGCUGUGUUCAGCAGGUUUGAACUGAAGAGAAAGUCUGCUGGAUUUCAAGAUACUGCCAUUAAAGGUAAUUCUGAAAUCCUUCCUCAAACAUAUACUGUCUUUAAAAUGCGUUAAGAACUGCUUCCCUGUGUUUUCUGUAAAGGGUUUUCUACAGGUUUUGAAAGUUGAGAAAAAUAUCACCAUCCCUUUCUUCCCAUUAACUUGUGUUUCAAAAAGGAUGGACAAUAAAUCCUUUCAAUCUUGCUGGAUAAGUAAUAUGAAAAGUUAUUUGACCUUCUGACAAAACAGAGUUGCUCAGUGUCCACUCACAAUAGUGUGUGUCUAGGCCAGUGAGGUUUCAGUCAGUGAUAGUUGUUGUGUCUUACAAGCAGGAGACAUUGUGAUUGAUGCUAACACAGAAAUCAAGAGAAGAAGAAAGGCACAGUUUGUGAUGACAGGGAACUUCCCAUUCUUGUGUUGUACCUCUUAGAACUUCUCAUAAUCAGAAGUUGCUUUAACCUUGUGAGCUACAAUCCAAUAGCUCUAAUUGUGUGUUUGACACAGAGCACACACAGCUAAGUCAGGUUGUGUUCUAAGACACUGAUGAGUGGCCCAGGUAUGUACAAGGGAGGAAAAAAAAAGCAUUUUUAUAUAUUUUAAUUAGGCAGAAUAAAAUCUGGCUUAGAAGAAUUUAGUCACCUGAACUGCCGUUGCUGUGAAUUACUGUACAAAAUUUAUGACUGUCCUUAGGGGCUAUAUUCUAAAUAAGCUGAUAAAAAAAGGAAACAAAACGUGAGCAUGCUUCCCGUGCAUCUCUCAUACCUAUCCAACCAGAAGCAAAGCUCUUGGAAAUGGAAAAAUCCCAAGGGUCAGAUUUUCAAAUGACCAAGAUCUCCCAGCAGUAACACACCUGUGAUUUGGUGAAAACUGAAAGACCAUCAGGGAGAAAAAAGAUCAGAAUGAUCCUUGGUUAUUAAGAAUACAUGAAAUUUGUGGUGUGUCUGUAUGUGUAACAGCUGAAGAAUAUUACAAUGCUGAAAACUCAUCAUUGUUGGUGAAUGCUUUCCUGGUAUUUUGGGAAGAGUCAGAGGUUAAAAAUCUUGAUCUUGAUCUGAAUUUCCCUAACUUUCAGAAAAAUCUUAUAGCUCCACUAUAUAUAUAUGUAUAUAUGUGUGUGUGUGUGUAUAUAUGCAUAUAUAAAAUUUAAAACUUUCAGCUCUAUUAUUUAAUUUGGGUUUAAAUUCUUAUAGUAUAUAUUCUCUGUGUGGCAAUUUUAGAUUUUGUUUAAAUAAAAUCAAAUCAAACCGUUUAUGAGGAAGGGAAAAGACAUCACCUAAAUUACUCUUUUGUAUUUUGUUUUGUAAGUGAACAGAAAUAAACAUGUAAAAAUAGCAUGUUUCAUUUUAAGGGGGAGAAAGAGGGAUGAAUCUAAUUUCCUCAGGAAGAAAAUGCUAGUUAUAUUACCAGACAUUCAAAUUAUGCACACUAAAAUAUUUUUAUACUAAUUCAACUUCUUAGCAGGAAAUCAUCUCUAUGAGUAGUUAAAGUGAACCUUCUUCAAUGGGCCAGAUGGGUUAACAUGACAAAACAGCACAAAUUGAAAAUGUGUUACUUAUAACUCAGCUCCCAAAAUGCUGGAAAUGACGAAAUUCUUGAGAAAAAAAAUUACUUAAUGUUUUUAAUUAUUGUAAUAAAGACUCGUUGUCCAAAGGUUAUUUGUAAUUGCUUUUGGUGAGUUUACUUUGUAUUUUCCCCCUUUAUUUGUUUUUAAAUUCCUUCAGAAAUGAGGCUAAAGACUUGUUCCAGUGAAGUGAAACUAAGCUAAUACAAAAGUUAAUGAAAUUAAUUAAGAGUUUUUGUUAUAAAUUCUAAAAGAAAAGUGCUUUGGAAAUAUUUUACACAUUUUCAGAGGAUUGUUGGAUGUUUCAAAAAUGCAAGAAGCUUAAUGAACUGACUCAAAAGAGGCAGUUAUUACAUACUUUCCACCUACAAAGGACUUUCUACACCAGAGAUUUUGGCAUUUGCUUAUUUCUUAAGAUUUAAGUGUUGUGCGGAUGUUCCAUGCCUGUUUUGAGGGUUUUUAGCUACUUUGCCUAGCAAAGGCAAAAAGAUUUGUUUCAGCAGUCACAGUGAAGGCAAUGGCCGAGGGACCACUUCUGAAAAAUAUACCUGAACUAAUUUGGUGUGUGAAGGUAAUAGAAUAAGAAUUAUAAUAUUGUAAAAGACUCUUUGUGACACACGUGUCUCUGAAGCCCCUGGAGGGACACUGACCCCAAAAGAAAUGGAACCAGCUCCACAGUAUGUUCCUGUGUGUCUCAUGGUGAACUUUGUGGCAUGAUUUCUUUCUGUGGAAGCUCAGAUAAGGGUGGGAGGCCCAGGGGUGCUGCUGACAAACAGAGGGACCUGUGAGAGCAGAGAUGCCCCCAGAGCUGCUGGGUGCAGCAGGAACUGCUGGGUCUCUCCAUGUGCAGAGGACGGGUCCAGAGGGUGUGUACAUCCCUCUCUGUGCUCUGUUCCUGCUGCAGCUCAGAGCCAGGGCUGGGU
Long non-coding RNA from Corvus hawaiiensis (hawaiian crow), 3515 nucleotides. RefSeq lists it as uncharacterized. The record is from RefSeq and is a predicted model, not a curated record. Lineage: Eukaryota; Metazoa; Chordata; Aves; Passeriformes; Corvidae. The transcript has 9 exons.